UGGGCGGCGCAGUGGCUAGCGAUGGCAACAACAUCACGGGAGCUAUGUUCACCCAGUUUGAGGUGACGUUGAGGAGAUGUCGACGAACUCUGUGGAUGAGCGGUGGUCAUGAGAGUUUCCGAGGAAGGCCGACUCGAUCAUGGAGUUGCCAUCGCUGCAAAAGGCGAUGCUGGCAACAGAGAAAGCCAUCCAUUUUUGCCACCGUGAAUAACAACAUUGUAAGGCUCUACAUUGGUUGCUGAAGCAGCAGAGAAGCUUGCGUCAUGCAAGCAACUGGUGGCUGCAAGGAUCUGUAUGUAAACAUGGCUUCUGCUAAAGAGAUAAACUGAGAGGUACUACUAUCCUGGUUCCAUGGAAGGCUUAUUUGUCAUCUUGAAUCCCGAUUUGGACAAGAAGAAAUCCCCCAUGUUUCCUUGAAUCUCUGUAAAGCAGCGUUGUGCAUUGCUAUUGAAUGAUGCCGUGGGUCGUGGGCAUAGAAUGGAGGUUGCAUCACAUCCUCUACAUUGUGUCAAAGGACAUGCAUGUGGUGGUGUUCAUAGUGGACGGGGUUUGUUUUCAUGUAAGUGAUCGUAUAUGUAAGAUAGGUGGUGGAUGAAUUGGCAUUUCAUAAGUUUUUUCCCGUUGCAACGCACGGGCAUAUUUCCUAGUAAAAUAUAAGACUUGCACCUAAAUUAGUAUUUUAAA
Triticum urartu is the source of this 684-nucleotide non-coding RNA. NCBI's taxonomy places the organism in Eukaryota, Viridiplantae, Streptophyta, Magnoliopsida, Poales, Poaceae. The record is from RefSeq and is a predicted model, not a curated record.